Physcomitrium patens is the source of this 576-nucleotide non-coding RNA. Lineage: Eukaryota; Viridiplantae; Streptophyta; Bryopsida; Funariales; Funariaceae. The record is from RefSeq and is a predicted model, not a curated record.
CAGAAAGUUUAGGUUAUAACCUGGAAUGCAUCACUAACAAUUUGAUUUGAGAUUUUAUAAUAUAGUUGAGAAGGUGGUACAAUAUCAGAAAGUUACCUCAACAUCAGCUACGGCGACCCUGAACCAGCCUCCUUGAAAGAUCGGUGCUGGAGGAUUGCUGCCGGCAUCCAUGUGGCCAGACAUGAAUUUGCUCCACGUUUGCCCCAUUUAUUAUCUCGCCCUCUUUCUUUCAGUUCUGAGCUUUGUAUGGAUGGAUAGAUAGAUAGAUUGAUACUGUGUGUCUGUGAGUAUCAACGGAUCCUGCUUCAAACCAUCGACUCCCUGACGAAUUUUGGUUUCUGUCCUAUCCCUGGUAAUGUCCGCAGCAUCUCACAUAUUUCUCUAAUUUCUCUUCAGAAUCUCUGUCGAGAUUAUCCUCGCUUAUUGGAUUACUGCUGUUGAACGGUUCCUCGCAUUGUCUCUUCUAUUGUGCUUAGUCCUUGACAGGGCCGAAUUUAUGCACCAGUGAGGUUCUGCAGUUAACCGUCUCCUUGUCCUACAAUCUCCCGCAAAGACGGUAAAAAUUGCUGGUAAACA